CUGUCAUCACCAUGACAAGAACAUGGCCUGAUGCCAUGGGGGCCCAGUGUGCAAUGGCUGCAAACAGCAGUGUCCUCAGUAGUGUAUGCAGCCUGUUGCCUGUACAGGUUGCCCUAAGGGACCGUGGAGACAGCC
Small nucleolar RNA from Hippopotamus amphibius kiboko, 135 nucleotides. RefSeq annotates it as small nucleolar RNA SNORA70. The transcript has a single exon. The record is from RefSeq and is a predicted model, not a curated record. NCBI's taxonomy places the organism in Eukaryota, Metazoa, Chordata, Mammalia, Artiodactyla, Hippopotamidae.